GGUGGGAUACCCGAGUUGGUCAAAGGGACCUGGCUGUAAACCAGGCGGCUCAGCCUUCGAAGGUUCGAAUCCUUCUCCCACCA
Molecule: transfer RNA, 83 nt
Filed under: Actinomycetota bacterium
Lineage: Bacteria; Bacillati; Actinomycetota
Description: Actinobacteria bacterium tRNA-Tyr
Rfam family: tRNA
About the family: Transfer RNA (tRNA) molecules are approximately 80 nucleotides in length. Their secondary structure includes four short double-helical elements and three loops (D, anti-codon, and T loops). Further hydrogen bonds mediate the characteristic L-shaped molecular structure. tRNAs have two regions of fundamental functional importance: the anti-codon, which is responsible for specific mRNA codon recognition, and the 3' end, to which the tRNAs corresponding amino acid is attached (by aminoacyl-tRNA synthetases). tRNAs cope with the degeneracy of the genetic code in two manners: having more than one tRNA (with a specific anti-codon) for a particular amino acid; and 'wobble' base-pairing, i.e. permitting non-standard base-pairing at the 3rd anti-codon position.
Source: RNAcentral